RNAcentral lists this small RNA (745 nucleotides) under Pan troglodytes (chimpanzee). RNAcentral's name for it is "retained intron". Lineage: Eukaryota; Metazoa; Chordata; Mammalia; Primates; Hominidae. The record is from RNAcentral.
CAUGGAAGCCACUUUGUAAAUGGCAGUGUCCGAUGGGUUUCAGCCUGAAAAUGGGAGCUGUGGCAACACUGCCAGCUCCCCGCAGGGACCUGGCACCCCUAGAAAUGGGGUUAUCAUCUCAGCCGGCCUCAACCCACUCUCUCGUCCCCAGCACCAAGAGGUUUGAGGACAUGAUUGCACCCUUCCGUCUGAAUGAUGGCUUCAAGGAUGAGGCCACUGUCAACGAGAUGCGGCGGGACUGCCCCUGGAAGAUCUCAGAUGAGGAGAUUACGAAGAACAGAGUCAAGUCCCUUCGGCAGGUGAGGCUGAAUGAGAUUCUGCUGGAUUACUCCCGAGAUGCUGCUCUCAUCGUCAUGUAAGUAGUGCCUGGCUGGUGGGAGGACCAGUCUGUCCAGAGUCAGGUGUCUCAGCUCUGGGAAGGGGCUCAGCAGGGGCACCACGGAGGGCCCAAGCCUUCCCCUAGGAAGCAGAAGGGCCAAAGUUCCCAUAAACAUAGCCCUGGUGAUUCUUAGCAUGUGGCUGGGCCUGAGCCUGCCCCACACCUGAGCUCCAGCUGGCAGGGGUCGAGGGCCUCACGUGUCCCAGGCAUCAGUGACCUCCCCUUGCCAUUGCUGUUUCCUGUUGGCUGCCUUUUCCUACCAAAUUCCACUUGGCAAAGAGGGAACCCAGCUCUUUCCAGAGGGACAUCAACUCCUGGUUGUUCAGGAACUACUUGGCCCUCCUUGGCUAUCGGCCAUUCCCAGCU